GACAGAGGGUGCAAACGUUGCUCGGAAUCACUGGGCGUAAAGGGCGUGUAGGCGGGAAGGAAAGUCAGAUGUGAGAUCCCUGGGCUCAACCCAGGAACUUCAUUUGAAACUCCCUUUCUUGAGUGUCGGAGAGGAAAGCGGAAUUCCUGGUGUAGAGGUGAAAUUCGUAGAUAUCAGGAGGAACACCGGGGGCGAAGGCGGCUGUCUGGACGACAACUGACGCUGAGACGCGAAAGCGUGGGGAGCAAACGGG
RNAcentral lists this ribosomal RNA (253 nucleotides) under uncultured bacterium. RNAcentral describes it as "partial 16S ribosomal RNA". It matches the Rfam family "Bacterial small subunit ribosomal RNA", at positions 524 to 776 of the family's 1533-position model. The record is from RNAcentral.